GAUGAACGCUGGCGGCGUGCCUAAUACAUGCAAGUCGAGCGAACGGACGAGAAGCUUGCUUCUCUGAUGUUAGCGGCGGACGGGUGAGUAACACGUGGAUAACCUACCUAUAAGACUGGGAUAACUUCGGGAAACCGGAGCUAAUACCGGAUAAUAUUUUGAACCGCAUGGUUCAAAAGUGAAAGACGGUCUUGCUGUCACUUAUAGAUGGAUCCGCGCUGCAUUAGCUAGUUGGUAAGGUAACGGCUUACCAAGGCAACGAUGCAUAGCCGACCUGAGAGGGUGAUCGGCCACACUGGAACUGAGACACGGUCCAGACUCCUACGGGAGGCAGCAGUAGGGAAUCUUCCGCAAUGGGCGAAAGCCUGACGGGGCAACGCCGCGUGAGUGAUGAAGGUCUUCGGAUCGUAAAACUCUGUUAUUAGGGAAGAACAUAUGUGUAAGUAACUGUGCACAUCUUGACGGUACCUAAUCAGAAAGCCACGGCUAACUACGUGCCAGCAGCCGCGGUAAUACGUAGGUGGCAAGCGUUAUCCGGAAUUAUUGGGCGUAAAGCGCGCGUAGGCGGUUUUUUAAGUCUGAUGUGAAAGCCCACGGCUCAACCGUGGAGGGUCAUUGGAAACUGGAAAACUUGAGUGCAGAAGAGGAAAGUGGAAUUCCAUGUGUAGCGGUGAAAUGCGCAGAGAUAUGGAGGAACACCAGUGGCGAAGGCGACUUUCUGGUCUGUAACUGACGCUGAUGUGCGAAAGCGUGGGGAUCAAACAGGAUUAGAUACCCUGGUAGUCCACGCCGUAAACGAUGAGUGCUAAGUGUUAGGGGGUUUCCGCCCCUUAGUGCUGCAGCUAACGCAUUAAGCACUCCGCCUGGGGAGUACGACCGCAAGGUUGAAACUCAAAGGAAUUGACGGGGACCCGCACAAGCGGUGGAGCAUGUGGUUUAAUUCGAAGCAACGCGAAGAACCUUACCAAAUCUUGACAUCCUUUGACAACUCUAGAGAUAGAGCUUUCCCCUUCGGGGGACAAAGUGACAGGUGGUGCAUGGUUGUCGUCAGCUCGUGUCGUGAGAUGUUGGGUUAAGUCCCGCAACGAGCGCAACCCUUAAGCUUAGUUGCCAUCAUUAAGUUGGGCACUCUAAGUUGACUGCCGGUGACAAACCGGAGGAAGGUGAGGAUGACGUCAAAUCAUCAUGCCCCUUAUGAUUUGGGCUACACACGUGCUACAAUGGACAAUACAAAGGGCAGCGAAACCGUGAGGUCAAGCAAAUCCCAUAAAGUUGUUCUCAGUUCGGAUUGUAGUCUGCAACUCGACUACAUGAAGCUGGAAUCGCUAGUAAUCGUAGAUCAGCAUGCUACGGUGAAUACGUUCCCGGGUCU
This 1372-nucleotide ribosomal RNA is filed under the name uncultured bacterium. Its description in RNAcentral is "bacterial SSU rRNA". It matches the Rfam family "Bacterial small subunit ribosomal RNA", at positions 28 to 1381 of the family's 1533-position model. The record is from RNAcentral.